Molecule: ribosomal RNA, 102 nt
Filed under: uncultured bacterium
Lineage: Bacteria
Description: partial 16S ribosomal RNA
Rfam family: Bacterial small subunit ribosomal RNA
Source: RNAcentral
CAACGCCGCGUGGAGGAUGAAAUCCCUUGGGAUGUAAACUCCUUUCGAUAGGGAAGAUAAUGACGGUACCUAUAGAAGAAAGCCCCCGGCUAAACUUCGUGC